UAUGAAAGAUGAUCAUAUAAAGGGAGGAAAGAAUCUAUUAUUCACAACCACGGUGAUUAGUAGUGAGGAGGUUUUUUUACAACACAUUUGGAAAAUUUUGAUUCUACCCUUAGAAUAGUUAGGCUCUCGAGCUGUCUUAUUUCUAGGAGAAUCUCAAAAUAGAACUAGUGGGAAAUCAGGGCUGUUUUAUUUUAAGAUAUACAUACGUAACAGAACUGUUCACUAGUAGAUUACAGACAUACUCCACCAUUAUAUAAACUAAUCAGUGAAAUAAAAUCAGGAGAUAUUUCAAGGAGGAGCUGUCUCUACAAUACAGUGCUGGUGCAGGUUGGUCUGGAUGAUUUCCAAAGGUUCCUUCUCCCACUAGCAUUUCUUUUCUUUCUCUUUUUUUAUUUUGUCUUUUUUUUAUUAUUAUUAUUUUUGUUGUAUUAAUGCAGCAAGGCUUCUAAACAUACCCACAAAGGAUUAAUUAAUAUUAAUAACUGAAUGUUGGGAAGAUAGCAUCAGCUAUCAAGACAAGACUUUUACUGACCAUUAUACAGGUUCAUCACUUUCAGUAUUGUACGUGAGUGGGAGAGGGGAGAAUCAUCUCUGAGAUUAAAAUCCAAACAGAAAGUCCACCCUGCUUGUCAUGCCACUGGCCAGCACUCUGUGUUAGCAAAAUGAAGGUGACUUCAUUUUGGCAGUGGGCUGCUUGGCUUUCAAAACAAAAUGCUCUAAAAUCAUGGGAAUUAGAGAAAAUGGAAAUCAGGGUAAUGAAGUAAGAGAUAUGAAGGGCUGCCAGGAAUGUGGAAGAUCCCAGUGAACAAGAAAUAACACCUUUCCACUGGUCUGAGUGUGAUUCAAGGAGGGCUGCAAUGAGCAGAAAGCACAAUUGAUGGACUAAAGCAACUGUGUUUAGAUGAUUAUUGAUUGAAGCAAAGUUUUGCCUUAGCAUGUAUGAAAGCAAAGUGCGACAAUUCAGUUACUGUUACUGUUGCUCCUAUUAGAUAUCUAGAGCAACUCGAUAAAGAUUGCUUUUGUGCUAGGCAAACCCUGCGGAACGUAUGCUUUUCAUCAUAACUUUCAUUUAACAGGAACAUUCAGUGUUUUCUAACUUUUGUUUCAUGCUAAUAGAGUUUUUGCAUGACAGGACAGCUCUCAGUGAUGUAAGGAUUUAAUAAGAGGUUCGGUUGCAGAAACAUUUUUCUGAGAAGCAGAAGGAUAUUUAUUUUUUCCUCAUAGAACUGUGAGGAAUGCUAAGUGAAGAGGUUCCUAGUUAGAGAUUAAUAUUAGGUUUAAUGGACAGACUUCAGCAGAAGCGGUUUUGUAACAAUCACCGCCAUGAAGUAGAGAAUUACUUCAUUUGUUGCAGGCAAGUCAGAUAUCUGAGUCUUCCAUAAGCCUGGAAAGUAGCCUGUAGUUACACGUUGGAGUUUAGUUUUUCACUGAUAGACUACUGAGAGGUGAUGUGACUGGAUGCUGCAAAAUGUAGUUUCAUGGAGCCUGAGCUCUAGUAACAUUCCAUCCCUGUUCACCCUGCCUAGCCUCUCAUUAGCUGGAAUGAAAGACUGGCAAUCUCGCUCUGAUAAAAGGUAUUUGUGGGUCACUGUUCAGCCACCAAUACAGGCAGAGAGCCUGGUCUGAACUGAUUAGCACUGUUAAAUGCUUUGUCAGGGAGAGGGUGUUGAGAAAAGAUGUGGUGCUCCACAUAUAUCUGUGCUGCAGCAAAAUCAAGGAGCCUGCCUUAUCCUCCUUGUCUCUGCAAAUAAAUAUUUGCAGCAGGUAUUAGAUUUUUCCUAUGAAUAUGCCUCUUUUGCCAGAAUUAUAUAAGGGAUCCUAAUGUAAAUGAGAUGCAAACACAUAUUGUACACUACAGUAAUGCAAAUUUGUUACAAAAGGAAGCGCUGCUGUUAAUGAAGUGCUGAGACAUAUCCAUUUUGAAAGCACUGUGGGGAAAGAACACUGAAGCAAAUGAUUAGGAAACAGGGAAAACUAAUAUUUUUUUAAUAAACCAAUGUUAAGUAUGGGCAGUAGGUUCUGGUUACAGCUUUGCAAAUUCAGAUUCACUUGUCAGUAAUGGGAAGGAAAUACUCCCUAUUGUAGCCUAAGCUGACACCAGAACUGUCUUUUAAUUAAAUCACAAUUAAUUUUUUCUGGUAAAACUGUAGAACCACACUACUGUGGGCCAUAGAAAUCUGAUAUUUAACCUUGCAAGCCUUCAAGAUUUUUUUGUUUGCCAGUUGUCUUUCUGUUCUCUGUUGCUUUUGUGAUGCCAGUUACAAAAUCAAGCCUUAUUUUUAUCUGAUAUAAUACUUUUCCAUGGCAAUGGCAUUCAUGUAUGUUACAUAGUCAAAACUCCUCCAGUAAGACCAGCCAAGGCUAGGAAGCCUGUCUGCACAGCACUUGGGAUUUGGCGAGCUGGUACUUGUAGAAUAGUGAGUGGAAAUAAAAGCAUUGUUUGUUGUGGUUUGUUUUGCUUUUCUUUGACAGUGAGUUCAGUAAGAAGCCAAAUACCAAUAAGGCGGUGGCAGAUUUAAGUAUCUGGAUAUUUCUAUUUAUUUGAUGCUUUCAGAAAAUACUUUACAUUUUUGAGAUAAUCUCAAAAAUCAUAAUUCUGCUUACAAGGAGAACUGAGAGCAUUGCAACUCAGUGCUGUUCUUAUUCAAACUACCAAUUUGUUUCUUUCAAAACUUUUAUAGGAGGAACUGACACACGUCUUGGGCACCUAGUGUUUUGUCAAUAUGUGCUGCUUUGAAUUCUUCUCUCUCAGAACAGAAAUCUGAGCAGAUUUCUUUCCAUGUGAUUAGGCACUUCAGCAAAUCUGUACCCUCAUCUACUUCAGCUCCUCCAUUUAACCAUGUGCUGUUUUGCUGAAAACACCUCCCUCCUCUAAUCACUGCACUGAGCUGUAAUCUCCUUAUUUCACCCUUCAGCAGUAUCUUCUUUUUGCUCACUCACUUUUUUGCAGUCACUGGAUUGCUGUCAUAGAAGUGCACCUUGGAAUCUCCUCUCCAUGUUCUUGAACUUCCUACACGCUCCUGACACUGCGUCAUUUCUCUCCCUUCUCUUAUAUCCAUGGUCUGAGAAAUCAGUCACCACCGAUUACCCAAUUCAUCUACAUGGGGCCAGGGCUGCAAUUUUUAUAGAGAAAAUAUGGCAGAAUUCAGACUUCAAGGGGGGUCUCGUUAUAUUGGAUCAGUCUGGGCUGGGAAUGUCGGAGUAACUUACUGUUCUCUGAAAUGAAAGCUCCCACCACUCAAUAGCUCAGACCUUUCAGAACAUGUUUCCUUUCAAACCAGGAAAAUGCCUGCUUUGUCCUCUCUGGAAAAGCUAAAUGAUAUCAACAAAAGCAAGGGAAGGCUGUUGUUAAUUCAAUUAUUAUUAUUACUGGCAAAUAAAGCACUGGAGAAAUCUAAAGCUGUGUUCACAAUGUGAUAUUCAAAUAAUGCAGAUGCUCUCUCAGAUAAUUAUUUAAAUGCCUAAUCAGCCAGUAGCCACAAAAUAAUAACAAGAUGUUGGGCCAAGGAAUCUGUGGGGUCACAUUGAUUUAUUCAACAGUUGAUGCAUUUCAUAUGAUCGCAGCAAGCAAACAGAAUUGAUUUAGAGAUGCUAUUUAUGGAGAUAGCUCACCAUGAGCUGUAACCAUUCAAGCUCCUAGAAGAGCCCCACACUGUAUUACUCAGAAGCAGUGCAGACUGACAAACUUCUGAGAGUAUUUACCCCACUCGUGGCACCAUGAGAUAGGUAGAACUGAGCCUUUCUUGCACACUGUGUAAUCAUGUUUCUUUACAAAUGACUGUAGAUGAUAGAAGAGUUUUGUCUUAUGAGGUGUCCAGAUUGAUUCAUGAGGAACCAAAAGGUGAGGAAACUGAGGAAAUCCAAGAGUGAAAAGAAGAGUGAAAAUUAAACUUUGGAGAAGGUGAAAGCAAAGCAUUGGAGCACGGUGUUUUCAGCACAUACUCAGUGCUUAGGAAUUCACACAGCAUUAAUAGAAGAUGCAUUCAAAAAACAAAUCAAACUUCUAGCACUUGGUUUCCUAAGAUUGUUUUGGAGGCUUAUGGAAAGUUUUAGAAAUUGGAUCGUCAUUAAAACAUGCAAAUCUGAAAAAAUAUAUUCUACAAACAACAGAAAAGGUGUGCUUGAUAAAGUGUAUUUUGUUGUCUUUGAAACCUAGGCUAGCCAUAAAGAGGUAUUAUAAAGGGAUGUGCUGCUUGUCUGCCUUGGGAAAAGGAUAAUGUAGGCUCAUUCAUGUAAGUUGUGCGCUACACCACAAAAUGUGAUAACAUUCAGGAGGUGCAUUUCAAAAAGGCAUGCUUUGAAUUGCAGUUUGCAAAAACAACAGUUGGUGGCACUUUGAAACAAUUUUUAUUUGUAAAUGCACAUUUGCUGAUUGUAGGUGUGUAGAGGAUGACAUUAAAAUAUUAAAUCACCAGUCUUCAUCAGUUCAAAUUGCAGUGAUGGUACAGAAGUCACCAACUGUAUUUUGCACGGUUCACAGCUUGCUUACACAGAAUUUGAAGAUCUGAAUUUAUAAAAACAAGGAAGGUGGUCAGGGCUACAAAUUCUACUUCAAAAAUGUUAGUGAGAAGUUACCAGAAAAGAUAGUAAUGACAAAAAUAGCAGUAGAAGUCACCACUAAUUGAGAAGAUUGCUCCAACCCCUAAAGGCAUCAAGGCCUGAAGCAGUAGCAGCACAGCACACCUCCAUGGACAGCUCAUCUUCACCUAGUUUACAUUUUGUUAUAGAGUUUUGUUUUUUUCACAGCACUGAUGUUCAUGGUGUCUAUCAAGUAUAUAGAUCUCUAUUUUUAACCAACAGUCACUGGACAAAGAGAUAUUUUCUAAAAUUUUAUUCCCCAAGAAGCGUGAGGGAGAAGAUCAUAAAGAGACUGAGGUCGUCAUUGCAGAAGAUCAAAAGUUCAUCCAUGGUAAUUCUGCCAGUCAAGUGCAAUCACACUGCCUGCAUAGGAACGGUAUCAUCAAUCUGAUAUCCCUCUGAUAUCAGAGGGAAAGCUGGGCAUUACUGGAGAACACUGAUGUAUUGAAAGACAUCUUUUUGUGUCAUCACAUACCUUGUCUGAAUACCUGAUGUUUAAACUAGCUGAGAAGCCAAAUCCCUUUUAUUAGAGAUUACAGAUAAUCAUUUGUUCCACAGGUCAAUUGAUUGGGGGUCAUUUGAUUCCAGAAGAGACUCUACCAGAGAGACAGCCCUGAAUACCAGAGCAGCUUGCUACCUUGGCUGUGGCCAUUUGCCCAAAGAAUGGAAGAUCAGCACACAGCUGGUGCUUGGCAGUCUUCACAACUUGGCCAAAGGAGCUUCAGCACCUUCUGUUCUGUCUCUAAUCUCACACAUUGGAAUUGAAAAGUCUAUGUCAACAGAGGAUAAUAAAUCUGGAGCCAUUACUGGGUUCUGCCCCUCCCCUUCAUCCUGUGGAUUAGUUGCAGAUGACUCCUGUUUGCAGUGCUGGCCCUGAAUAUGUUGGUCUUGACAGUAUAAGCCAUAAGUGAUUUUUAUUUGGCCUUCUAAAUUACAUAUUUUGCAGUUACUAAUAGAUCUUUAUAUUGGCUACUUUGAGUUCUGUGGAAAAAUGUUUCAUUUAGCUUCAGACAAAUGCUGCCUGAUGCAUUUACAAAUAUGUUCUUGCCUGGGAAUAUUUUGCUGCUUUCCUAUUUAAUUCCACAGGGCUGCUUGCACUGAGAGGAAAGCUUGUCAUAUCCAGUAUGAUAAAGCAAACUUCUUUUUCUGAAGAGUAAUGCUGCCUGGCAUUCUAAAUUUUCUGUAAUGUGCUGCUAGAUUUGGUGAAACCGUGAGCUAAAUACUGAUUUCACAUUUUCUGGCUUUUGUAUCUUUCCACAUACCACAGACUUUUGUAAUGUUCUCACUUCAGGUAUGCUCAUGUGAUGCCUAGGAAACCCAGCAAUGCCCACCGCUUUCAUGCAUGAGCAUCUUUCUGGCUCUCCACACCCCUGCAUGCCACUCUGCAGUAGAAAGCUGCUUUUAGCCUAAGAGCUUCUGCUUCAGUCUAAGAUGAUGUGCUGGGGCUUCUCCUGUCACUGCUCUUCAGUCCCUAAAUAGUAAUUUGUACCUGCCCUCUCAAGAGACAGUUUGCUCAUACUCACAUUGUUCUCUUACAUGCCUGACCUUGUGUUUACAAAAGGCUUAGGCGUCCUCUUUAAACAUUUUGUAUACCUGCCUGAGCAGUGACUCAGUUCUCACAUACUGCAGAAAUACCUGUUUGCUACCCAGCUCUUACCUUAUUUGUAUGUAGACAAAUGGCAUUUUGCACUGGCCAUCAGCCAAGGCAUUCAUUUCUGCCUCAGCCAGUGCCUUCAUUACAACCCUGACCUGCAAGCUUGGUUGUUUCUAUCACACUAGACAUAAUCCCUUUGUUCUCUCUUGGAGCAGCUGUUCCAGGCAUACACCUGGCUUCCUGCUCCCCACAUGGCCAGCAAUGUGGCGGCUUCAGCUGGAAGGCUGGGCUUCAGCUUGGGAGCCCUGACUUUACCCUGUUCUUUUGGCAGCUGCCAUUACCCAUGACUUUGGACCUGCAAACCACAUUCACAGACUGGUUGUUCUGAAUAGUGUAGGCUGUUAACUAUUCUGGCCCUGAUGUGUUUUUCCAAGUAGGUGUAAAUCUGUGUCCCCUCCAAGGUUUUCUUGCAGCCAGGUUCUGGGACCAAUUUCUUCCCCCAUUCUCUUAACCAAGUUUUAUGAGCUCUCAACAGAAUCAUCUGCUCCAGAAGAGCAUCAGGUCUGAGUGAGUGAAAAUGUGUGUUGUGUUCCAUUGCCUUGGUGUACUCCAAGGAGAAAAGGCAAUUCAUUCCAGUGGGAUUCAUCGCUCCCUGAGAACACUAGGACCUCUGCACUGUCAGUGAAAGGAGUGACGUGCCUAGGUUUGGUGGAUGAGAAUACCCUCUGGAGCAUCUGAAAGCACCUCUCUCUUUUCACUGAUGACAAAGCUUCCUUUAUAAUAAAUACAUGGCGUUAUAUUCAGUGGACUGGAUCCCUCUCACCCUCUUUAUUCCUCCUUUCUCUUUGUCCCUUCCCUCCCUCUGUUUAUUUCCUCCCUAGGCCAGGUGCCAAAAAUGCUAGUGCAGCAGUAUCUUAGCUAUCAGCUUAAAUUGUCAAACUGGCUUCCACCUCUUUCAUUUCAGAGAACACUGUAAUUGAAACUCCUCUUAUUUUAGGUGAUGGUAGUAUUUUAAACUCAGAAUUAUGUAAAGAAAUGGAGAUAGCGCUGAACUGCUUAGCUGCAAAGGGGUGGCUACAGACCAAGUGAGGAAAUGUUUGCAUAAAUUCUAUGUAGGCAGAUUCUCACCUAGAAAAAGCCUGCAUUUCUGCCAAAAUAUUCAGAAUCUCUCUGGCAUCCACCGCAAGCCAAUUGUCAGACUUGAUUUGUCCGGCAGAGAAGGCUUUUGCCUUCAUUUCUGCUCAUUUGGUGCCAGCGUAUAUCCCUGACAAGUGAUGUGAGAGGUGACUGGAAGAGUUCAUUGACCAUGGAGAUGCCUACGCAGGGAAUCACUUUCCUUCUUCUGCAGAGCCUCCCAGAAAACUGGGAUGUUCUGAUGAAACCCAUUCUGCUACAAAUCUCCCUGCCCAGACGAACAAUAAGAACAUGAAAUCUAGGAGUAACUCAGGGGUCUGUGGUUGUCAUUUGGGAAAGACGCAUUUGUGAUUCAAUCAACCAAGCCAAUAUGCUGGAGCAAGCUUUGAAAGGCCGUGGCAUGAAGGUGCUUGUAAAGUGACAGUGGCCAAGAUUGCUUUCACCAGAUUCAUUCCAUGACACUACUUUGACAGAGUUUAAAGGACAGAAAGAUUAUAUUAUUUGUUAGUUCCUUGGUCUGGAAAGGCCUGGGCAGCCUAUGCCAAACAUACCCACUACCACCAGAGAGGUGAUUGCCAUGCAGGUGAAUGACAUGGCAAAUAGAAGCAGGAACGUAUGGCUGCAACAUGAAGCAGAAGGAGGCUGAUGAUUCUUCCUUCUGUCCUCUUCAGGGAGAGUGGUGAGAAACUGAGGCCAGAAUAGAAGUGCAGUAAUAAUUCUCCCACAUGCUAUAGAUAAAGCUGAUCUUCUCAUCCUACACGUUGUCCAUUGGAAAAAUCAGGAAAGCACAUAUGUUUUUACCAUUUCACACAAUGACAGUGUUGAGCGCCUUCCCAAAUUGUGCUGCGUGAUACUUCUCUGGCAUUGGACCUUGGUGAGCCCAGCAACAGACUACCAAAGACAUGGCUUCUUUGGACCUUCUAAGAGAUGCUGUAGCCAGAAUCACCAGAAGCUUUUAUCAUGCUGAUACUGUUUUCUAGAACAUCUUAUACCUCGGCUGGGGGUCUUCAAAUCUCCAGGCUCUCAGAGGUAUCUCCAAUGUUUACCCUGCCAGAAUUUGCUGAACUGGCCUGAAAAAAAAAAAAAACAAAAACAAAACAAAAAAAAACCUGAUCCAUUUAAUGCAUUUAGGAAUCAUUCUAAAGCAGAUUUUUGGAGCUUUUUCAUCGCUCUUUUCCUGGUUUCUGUCUACUUUUUAAUCUGUCUUACUCCUCACCAGUGCUUGUAGCUGAUAUAUUGUAGCCACCUUCUCCAUAUCUACUGAAAGCUCAAAUUUCAUUGGAAAAAUAAGAGAGAAAUUAGUGACAGAAAAGUUCUUUUUUCUUUCCUUAAUAUUAACUUUUAUAAGAUCCAAAGCUGGUGUGCAGCUAGAGGGACCAGCCCAUGUAGGGAGAAAAGCAGAACAUCUGGAUAUCCUCAGCAAAUCACUACAAGUUUCUUAUUUAGCUGUACAGGUAGGCAACAAAUCAAUUUAAAAAGUAAUAGUCAGAUGUCACCUGCAUGCACUGCAGGUUUUGUAAAACUGUCAUUCCAAAGGGAGGAGCCCCUAUAUGAUCCAUCCAUGUGCUUAAAAUAUGAUAGGAUAUUAGAGCUUAAUUCAGUUUCAGACUAAUAAAAGUCAUAAGUAACUAGUUUCACAAAGUCAGUGGAACUAGAAAAAUGUAAGCUUGAUGGAGACAGUAUUCAGUUAAUUCAAUGUUUUGAAGUUACUUUGAAAUGGAAUGAGUGUUCAGGCAUUCUGGGCCAGGUUGUGUCUAGUUAGCAAGGUUGUAUUUAGUUAUCUGACUCUGACAGUGAAAAGCAAUUUCAUAGUUGUGUCCUAAACUUCUCCAUCAGUGUUUCUUGAUAUGCUACUUUGUGGAAGACUCCCUUAUUGGUGUGGCAACUCUUCAAAAUGUUUAGGUCUGCUAUUAGCAUAGCAGAGAGCAUACAGGACCCUAUUAAGCUAUACAUUGGGUUUCAGAAGCCAGCCAAUGGCAGACCUCUGGUCUCCUUAAAACUGUGCCCCUCUUAGAGUGGCCAUUUUUAUCCCAUUGUAAUUGUCUCUUUUGUGAUUAUGAUCUGCUGAACUCUGCAACUCUAAAGCCAAAUCAUGAUGGAUCAGUUGAUCUGACUUGGACCUUGUCAGCAGGAGGAAGGCAGGAUGUAGAGGGAGUGAAUUAUUAUUAAAUACGAGGUUAAGUAGCCUGAGGUUAGAGAGGAAAAGAUCAGCAAAGCACUUCUAAUCGAUUUGAUAUGGACAACUUAACCGUAUUCACUCAUGAUCAGCACCCAUGCAAUAAAAUAUAACUGCAGGAAAACUCAUUCUUAUGUACAUUUUACCAAUGUCUGUAUACUGUCUCAUGGUUCCUGCAUGACUUUCCAGCUGUAUUCCACUUCACUAAUUAGUUCACAGCUCCGACCAGAUUAAUACAAUCUAUGAUUCUACUAACCUCACAUAACUGCACAUGAUUAACAGCACUGCAAUUUUUAAUUCAUUUUCAUCACUUUAAUUUAUUGCCAGAGUUUUUUUAUUCUUUGAUCCAGUAAUUGGUUCCUUUCUUCUUUCUCAGUUUAUAAUCUAAUCUUCUAGAAAUAUUGAUCUUGGCCACUCCUCGUGCCCAGUUCUUGCCUUCUCUUUUUUAUUAUUAACUUCCUUCCUUCUUCUUCCUUCUUCUCCAGUUUUCUCUGCUUUAUACAGGUGAAGAAUUUAGUUGUAUGCCUAUUUUUGGGCACUUAUUAUUAAUAAAUAAAACCUUUAUCCCGCUGUGUACCCUCACAGAAGGAGUGUGGACUGGGAAGCCACGAAGAUGUGGCUUUCUGUGUAUGGUGACACUUUAUGUCAGUGCCAGGGAUUCUCUCAUUUCCAGAGAGUAGAUAGACAUGUUUGGUGUUGUCUCUUCUUUUGGGGGAACCAAAUUCCUUGCUAAAAAAACUAGUGGGAUCACUCCACAGCAAAACGUGAUCUGGCAUCUGUGUGAUAUUUCAAAAGUGCACGUUUUUGCAUCUUCUCUCAGCAUUUUUCCUUUCGGAAGAACAAAGGAAAUACAAUAAAUACCAGACUGUUGUUCUAUCAGUGCCAUUUCAUGGUUUACACACCGAAUAUACAAAAUCUGUGAUGGAUGUGAGGAAUUUUAUUCUUUUGGCCCAUAUAGGGCCUCUGCUUUGCUGAGAUAUUUUGCCUUUUAAAUAAAAACAAGUAAGUUUCAUAGAGAAAUCAACACCAAAAUACAGCCUAACACAAUCACAAACAUUUAGUAGAGAUAGCAGCUUGGUCCCCACAACUAAGCAGUCUCAUUACCCGAGGGUCCUGCAUUGUAUUGACAUUUCUGUGUGGCUUUUUCUUCUGGGUAGUUAUGAUCUCUCCUCCACAUCUGCCCUCUCUUCCAGAGUAGCUGACCAAUGUUAAGCCACGGUUUGCUUUUGCAAAUCUCCAGUUAUGUUCCCACUUGAAAGCAAAAUCUUCAUAGAAAGAUUUACAGUGACAAAAAGAUGCAAAAGGAACACAUAUGCAUCAUAUAGGGAUAUAAAUACUGAGUCAUUCACUUUGGAAGAAAACAAGAAUCAUAUAUUUAUGUACAUGUCCUAAAUGUAAAGGCAUAAAGCCUUUGAACAUGUAUCACAGCAACAAAAUAGAGACUUGUGUGGGAAACAUCAGUAAGUUUAUCGUAUAACAGCUUUUAUUUAGAAUUUAUCCUCGGUUUUUCAUAGCAUUCACAGAUGUAAAGGAUUCAAUUUAAACGCUAUUUACAAUUUACAGUAUUUACUGUAAGCAAUGGAAGUUCACUGGUGCCUAUAAACACGUAUUUAUCAGAGUACCACAUGUAGUAGUCAUGAGGCUUGGAAUACAUAUAAUGCUUUUAGAUGACUUUUGCAAGGACAAAAAUCUGCCCUGUGUUUUAGCAUUAAUGAGGGACAGAAAGCAAACAGAGUUGUUAUCAUACCUAUAUACACAGCAGAUCUUCAGCCGUAUUAAGAGUCUGUUCAAACAAGAGGGAGAGGUAUGAGUAAAUUCUUCUUUCUUGUUUACCAUGAACUGAAAAGUCGAUUAUGUAAGAUGCAGCAACUCAUGCACAAAACAGAGGGUGGCUGCAAGGUACCCAAAAAUGGAAUUUAUUUAACACAGCCUUCAUUACUGGUGAUAAUGCUUGAGAAGAAAAGAAAGAAUCCAGGUUGACACCCAUCUAGAAAGGUAUUUUACAGUGCUUAAACACAAAGCUGUUAGAAAACUCUCUGAAAAAGUUUAGCACUAUAACAGGUCCCAUGGAGACAAUGUGAAAAAUAAAAAAGAUGUCACAGAAGUAAGUAAUGCAAAGCCUGAUAAAAAAGAUUGUUCCUUCUCUUCUGUAUCUGAAAGUAAUACUCCAGACAUAGAUCAGUGUUGUCUGGGAAAUAUGUAACUCUUGCAAAAAAAAAAAAAAAAAAAGCAGAACC
This is a non-coding RNA of Coturnix japonica (Japanese quail), 11719 nucleotides long. The record is from RefSeq and is a predicted model, not a curated record. NCBI's taxonomy places the organism in Eukaryota, Metazoa, Chordata, Aves, Galliformes, Phasianidae.